GCUUGUCUCAAAGAUUAAGCCAUGCAUGUCUAAGUGUAAAUAAGUCUAUACUGUGAAACUGCGAAUGGCUCAUUACAUCAGUUAUAGUUUAUUUGAUAGUCCCCACUACUUGGAUAACCGUAGUAAUUCUAGAGCUAAUACAUGCGUCAAGUCCUGACUGCGCGAGCGGAAAGGAUGUGUUUAUUAGAUACAACCAACCCUUCGGGUCCCUGGUGAAUCAUAAUAACCGAACGAACCGCAUGCUUCGGCGGCGGUGGUUCAUUCAAGUUUCUGCCCUAUCAGCUUUCGAUGGUAGGGUAUUGGCCUACCAUGGCGUUAACGGGUAACGGAGAAUUAGGGUUCGAUUCCGGAGAGGGAGCCUGAGAGAUGGCUACCACAUCCAAGGAAGGCAGCAGG
RNAcentral lists this ribosomal RNA (396 nucleotides) under Adriamonas peritocrescens. Its description in RNAcentral is "partial small subunit ribosomal RNA". It matches the Rfam family "Eukaryotic small subunit ribosomal RNA", at positions 30 to 432 of the family's 1831-position model. The record is from RNAcentral. Lineage: Eukaryota; Bigyra; Bicosoecida; Siluaniidae.